ACCGAAUAGAUACCCCGGUAGUCCACGCCGUAAACGAUGGAUGCUAGCUGUUAGGAGUAUCGACCCUUCUAGUAGCGAAAGCUAAACGCGUUAAGCAUCCCGCCUGGGGAGUACGGUCGCAAGAUUAAAACUCAAAGGAAUUGACGGGGACCCGCACAAGCGGUGGAGCGUGUUCUUUAAUUCGAUGAUAAGCGAAGAACCUUACCAGGACUUGACAUCCAGGGAAGCACUACGAAACGUAGAGUGUGCCUUUUGGAACCCUGUGACAGGUGCUGCAUGGCCGUCGUCAGCUCGUGUCGUGAGAUGUUUGGUUAACGUCCAUU
RNAcentral lists this ribosomal RNA (323 nucleotides) under uncultured bacterium. Its description in RNAcentral is "bacterial SSU rRNA". It matches the Rfam family "Bacterial small subunit ribosomal RNA", at positions 772 to 1090 of the family's 1533-position model. The record is from RNAcentral.